CCUGACGGUAGUCGCAUGCUCGUCUCCGAGACUAAGCCAUGCAAGUCCAAGUACACGUCCUUGAACGACGGAAACUGCGAACGGCUCAUUAAAUCAGUUGCGAUCUACUCGGCGUUCCGCGCCGCCGGAUAACCGUAGUAAUUCUAGGGCUAAUACGUGCGAAGCGCCCGAAGCCGCGAGGCGACGGGCGUUCUCGCCGGAUGUAGGAACCGACCCGGGGACCGCCGGGGCAACCCGGCGCCCCCGAGACGGGGCGAACCACGGUGAAAUGACGGAUCGUCGGCCCCGCGCCGGCGACUCGCCGAAUGAGUUUCUGACCUAUCAACUCGAGACGGCGGGGUAGAGGCCCGCCGCGGUAACGACGGGUAACGGGGAAUCAGGGUUCGAUUCCGGAGAGGGAGCCCGAGAAACGGCUACCACUUCCAAGGAAGGCAG
RNAcentral lists this ribosomal RNA (435 nucleotides) under uncultured eukaryote. RNAcentral's name for it is "bacterial SSU rRNA". It matches the Rfam family "Eukaryotic small subunit ribosomal RNA", at positions 13 to 428 of the family's 1831-position model. The record is from RNAcentral.